This 577-nucleotide ribosomal RNA is filed under the name Priestia megaterium. RNAcentral's name for it is "bacterial LSU rRNA". It matches the Rfam family "Bacterial large subunit ribosomal RNA", at positions 1 to 570 of the family's 2925-position model. The record is from RNAcentral. Lineage: Bacteria; Bacillati; Bacillota; Bacilli; Caryophanales; Bacillaceae.
AUGGUUAAGUUAGAAAGGGCGCACGGUGAAUGCCUUGGCACUAGGAGCCGAUGAAGGACGGGACUAACACCGAUAUGCUUCGGGGAGCUGUAAGUGAGCUUUGAUCCGGAGAUUUCCGAAUGGGGAAACCCACUGUUCGUAAUGGAACAGUAUCUUUAUCUGAAUACAUAGGAUAUUGAAGGCAGACCCGGGGAACUGAAACAUCUAAGUACCCGGAGGAAGAGAAAGCAAAUGCGAUUUCCUGAGUAGCGGCGAGCGAAACGGAAUUAGCCCAAACCAAGAGGCUUGCCUCUUGGGGUUGUAGGACACUCUAUACGGAGUUACAAAGGAACGAAGUAAAUGAAGCGACCUGGAAAGGUCCGUCRAAGAAGGUAACAACCCUGUAGUUGAAACUUCGUUCCCUCUUGAGUGGAUCCUGAGUACGGCGGAACACGUGAAAUUCCGUCGGAAGCUGGGAGGACCAUCUCCCAAGGCUAAAUACUACCUAGUGACCGAUAGUGAACCAGUACCGUGAGGGAAAGGUGAAAAGCACCCCGGAAGGGGAGUGAAAGAGAUCCUGAAACCGUGUGCCUACAAG